AAGGAACUAACAAGGAUUCCCCUAGUAACUGCGAGUGAAGCGGGAAGAGCUCAAAUUUAAAAUCUGGUAGUCUUUGGCUGCCCGAGUUGUAAUCUAGAGAAGCGUUAUCCGCGCUGGACCGUGUACAAGUCUCCUGGAAUGGAGCGUCAUAGAGGGUGAGAAUCCCGUCUUUGACACGGACUACCAGGGCUUUGUGAUACGCUCUCGAAGAGUCGAGUUGUUUGGGAAUGCAGCUCUAAAUGGGUGGUAAAUUCCAUCUAAAGCUAAAUAUUGGCGAGAGACCGAUAGCGAACAAGUACCGUGAGGGAAAGAUGAAAAGAACUUUGGAAAGAGAGUUAAACAGUACGUGAAAUUGUUGAAAGGGAAACGCUUGAAGUCAGUCACGUUGGCUAGGAAUCAGCCUUGCUUUUGCUUGGUGUAUUUCCUGGUUUUAACGGGUCAGCAUCAAUUUCGACCGAUGGAAAAAGGUCAGGGGAAUGUGGCAUCUUAGGAUGUGUUAUAGCCCUUGGUCGUAUACAUCGGUUGGGAUUGAGGAACUCAGCACGCCGCAAGGUCGGGUUAUCUAACCACGUUCGUGCUUAGGAUGCUGGCAUAAUGGCUUUAAUCGACCCGUCUUGAAACACGGACCAAGGAGUCUAACAUGCCUGCGAGUGUUUGGGUGGAAAACCCGAGCGCGUAAUGAAAGUGAAAGUUGAGAUCCCUGUCGUGGGGAGCAUCGACGCCCGGACCAGACCUUCUGUGACGGAUCCGCGGUAGAGCAUGUAUGUUGGGACCCGAAAGAUGGUGAACUAUGCCUGAAUAGGGUGAAGCCAGAGGAAACUCUGGUGGAGGCUCGUAGCGAUUCUGACGUGCAAAUCGAUCGUCAAAUUUGGGUAUAGGGGCGAAAGACUAAUCGAACCAUCUA
This 904-nucleotide ribosomal RNA is filed under the name Lulesia mundula. RNAcentral describes it as "Clitocella mundula partial large subunit ribosomal RNA". It matches the Rfam family "Eukaryotic large subunit ribosomal RNA", at positions 59 to 946 of the family's 3401-position model. Lineage: Eukaryota; Fungi; Basidiomycota; Agaricomycetes; Agaricales; Entolomataceae. The record is from RNAcentral.